UCUCAGGUUAUUAAAUGGACAGUAGCUACUAACCUAGACUCUCAGGUUAUUAAAUGGACAGUAGCUACUGGCCUAGACUCUCAGGUUAUUAAAUGGACAGCAGCUACUGGCCUAGACUCUCAGGUUAUUAAAUGGACAGUAGCUACUGGCCUAGACUCUCAGGUUAUUAAAUGGACAGUAGCUACUGGCCUAGACUCUCAGGUUAUUAAAUGGACAGUAGCUAAUGGCCUAGACUCUCAGGUUAUUAAAGGGACAGUAGCUACAGACCUAGACUCUCAGGUUAUUAAAGGGACAGUAGCUACAGACCUAGACUCUCAGGUUAUUACAUGGACAGCAGCUACUGACCUAGACUCUCAGGUUAUUAAAGGGGCAGUAGCUACAGACCUAGACUCUCAGGUUAUUAAAUGGACAGUAGCUACUGACCUAGACUCUCAGGUUAUUAAAGGGGCAGUAGCUACUGACCUAGACUCUCUGGUUAUUAAAUAAUAUAUGCCAUUUAGCAGACGCUUUUAUCCAAAGCGACUUACAGUCAUGUGUGCAUACAUUCUACGUAUGGGUGGUCCCGGGAAUCGAACCCACUACCCUGGCGUUACAAGCGCCAUG
Molecule: long non-coding RNA, 603 nt
Organism: Oncorhynchus keta (chum salmon)
Lineage: Eukaryota; Metazoa; Chordata; Actinopteri; Salmoniformes; Salmonidae
Exons: 3
Source: RefSeq, a predicted model, not a curated record